AUGAAGAUUGCCUUGCGACGAGCCGGUGUGGACGACCCCAUUUCGAUGAAGUUCCACUUCAUGAUGGGAUUACACAACGACAUCUCCAAGACGGUCUUCCUCGAGAACUACAAGUCCCUCGACGACAACUACAUUGGUGCUCUCAAGGCGGAACAAGAACUCAUGAAGGCCAAGGCUUCUCGACCCCAAGCUCACUUCGCGACGACCAAGCUCCAUGAGAACGAGCAUGAGGAUAGUACCACCAAGAUGUCCAAGCCCGACGAGCUCCAAGACGAUGCUCCCAAGGUCGACUUCACCUACAUUCCUCUUUGUGGCAUUGAUGAUGCUGAGUCCUCCAUGACUCUUUUUCAAGACGAUGCGGUGACGAGUACGACUACGGAGACCCUCAAGGACCAAGCUUUGGAGGCGAGCGACAAGGUGGCGAGCAAGGAUGAUGCUUCCAUCUUAGGAGGCAAGAGUGAUGAUGUGCCAUCUUCGGCCUUCAUACAUGGUGAUGACAACGAGAUGGUUGAUCAUGGGAUUUUCCCUUCGACCACGGCGACAUGUGAUGAUUUGAGUGACUUUAGCCACCAUAUUGAGAGUGAGAGUGACUUCACCACUAGCCCCAUAUGUGAUGUGUUGCCACAAUUCCCAUGUGAGGAGAGCCACAACCCCCACCACUUGAGUGAGAUAAGUGACUCCACCAUAUGUGACAUUGAGUGCACCUACCAUGAGGGAGUGAGUGAACCAUCACAUAGAGAGAGUGAGAUAGUUGAUAGGUCAUGUGAGGCCACUUUUAACACUAACGACUUGACCUCUACCUCUAUUGUGUCUUCUCAUUUGGUGCUAGGUCCCUUAUAUGAUGAUGCGCCGCUUCUCGAUGACUUCGUCCUACCUUUGGACAAGAUGAUGUCCAUGGUGGAAUAUGAUGCACCCCCCCACAUGGUUCCAUCACAGUGA
RNAcentral lists this ribosomal RNA (939 nucleotides) under Triticum aestivum (bread wheat). RNAcentral's name for it is "partial small subunit ribosomal RNA". The record is from RNAcentral. Lineage: Eukaryota; Viridiplantae; Streptophyta; Magnoliopsida; Poales; Poaceae.